This is a long non-coding RNA of Lathyrus oleraceus (garden pea), 1179 nucleotides long. RefSeq lists it as uncharacterized. Lineage: Eukaryota; Viridiplantae; Streptophyta; Magnoliopsida; Fabales; Fabaceae. The transcript has 2 exons. The record is from RefSeq and is a predicted model, not a curated record.
CCUAAUUAAUUUCUAAUUAGAAACUAAUUAACAAAACACAAAAACAUGAAAAGCCAAUCCAGGGCAUGUGGCAACGUAGGGCUUGGGGAAGGGAAAACCCAAUCCACCUGAGGGAAGAGGAUAUGCAUUCAAACUCUCAGAUGCUCAAUAGUCACGUGUCUCACAUGUUCAGGUGUUAAUUCAAAAAAAGAAAAUCCCUCCUCGCCUGAGCAGCUCCCUCCUUCGCCGCACCGGGAAUCUCCUCCGGCGGCGGCGGACGAAACGCAAUAAAAACCAAAUCAAUCUUUUAGUUUCAUACUCCUCUACAAGAUUCUAGCCUCAAUUUUAUCUGACUCUUUUCGAACCCCCUAAACUGACUCAAAUUUCCGAAGAACUCUAAACCUAAGAUUCGAAAUUAAAUCCUAAUCUUGGGGAAUCAAAGUCCAAUAGGUUAGGACUUUGAUUCCUCUAACCUCAUGCUACAUUCUGGUAAUCGAAUCGAAGUGAAACAAGGUGAAAUUUAUAACCUACCUGCCGGAGAAGAUGACGGGAACGGCGGAGAUUGAAUGCCAAUGUUAUGGAAAAUUGAAUGCGUGUUAGUCUGCUUGAUGUAAUUGCACAGUUGGAUGUUUGUCAUGGUAUAUGCUUGUUUAUGUGUUUGUGAAAUGGCCUAUUGCAGGGUGGUUGUUGCAGGACCUGCUGCUGAUGGUGUAGGGGAGCCUUACUUGAUUUGCUGUUCGAAUCAUGGACGCCUUAUCGAGAAAUUUUCUUGGUCUAGUUUGACAGAAAGUUUGAUCUUGUAGAUAGAAAGUGGUGGCUGGGGAGAAAAGUAAGAUAUGAGAAAGUGGUGAAUGCUUUAGGAUUAUGGAGCGGUUCACAUGGUGAUAUUAAGGAAAUGGUUUGGAGGUUUGGAUUAGAAAAGGGUGUUUUUAUGAACAUGAGAAAAUGGGAGAAAGUGAAAGAAAGUUUAGAGUACUCUUCAUAGUGUGGAAAUUGUUUGAUUGAAUGUGAUUUUAUAAAUUGGUUUGAAUUUGGAUGAAUUUGGUUUAAUGAAAUGGAUUUGGUUUUGGUUUGAAAUUGUAAUGAACUUGGUUUUGAUUUAUAUUUGGAAAUUGAAUGGUUGUAAUAGUUGUAAUUUUUGAAUGGAAAUUGUAUUAGUUUGAACAUUGAAUGAAGAUGAAUGUAUAAUUGGUUUAUGGA